RNAcentral lists this transfer RNA (74 nucleotides) under Actinomycetaceae bacterium. RNAcentral's name for it is "tRNA-Met". It matches the Rfam family "tRNA". Rfam says of the family: Transfer RNA (tRNA) molecules are approximately 80 nucleotides in length. Their secondary structure includes four short double-helical elements and three loops (D, anti-codon, and T loops). Lineage: Bacteria; Bacillati; Actinomycetota; Actinomycetes; Actinomycetales; Actinomycetaceae. The record is from RNAcentral.
GGCGGGGUAGCUCAGUCGGUGAGAGCGCACGACUCAUAAUCGUGAGGUCGCGGGUUCGAACCCCGCCCCCGCUA